CACGCCGUAAACGAUGAUAACUCGUUGUCGGCGAUACACAGUCGGUGACUAAGCGAAAGCGAUAAGUUAUCCACCUGGGGAGUACGAUCGCAAGGUUGAAACUCAAAGGAAUUGACGGGGGCCCGCACAAGCGGAGGAGCAUGUGGUUUAAUUCGAUGAUACGCGAGGAACCUUACCUAGACUUGAACGUAAGAGUGAUCAUUUAGAAAUAGAUGAGCUAGUAAUAGACUUUUACGAGGUGC
RNAcentral lists this ribosomal RNA (242 nucleotides) under uncultured Bacteroidota bacterium. Its description in RNAcentral is "uncultured Bacteroidetes bacterium partial 16S ribosomal RNA". It matches the Rfam family "Bacterial small subunit ribosomal RNA", at positions 796 to 1041 of the family's 1533-position model. Lineage: Bacteria; Pseudomonadati; Bacteroidota. The record is from RNAcentral.